GCCAGCUUGGUGUAGUGGCAGCAUUUCUGACUCUGGAUCAGAAGGCGCGGGUUCGAUCCCCGCAGUUGGCA
Molecule: transfer RNA, 71 nt
Filed under: Candidatus Nanopelagicaceae bacterium
Lineage: Bacteria; Bacillati; Actinomycetota; Actinomycetes; Candidatus Nanopelagicales; Candidatus Nanopelagicaceae
Description: tRNA-Gln
Rfam family: tRNA
About the family: Transfer RNA (tRNA) molecules are approximately 80 nucleotides in length. Their secondary structure includes four short double-helical elements and three loops (D, anti-codon, and T loops). Further hydrogen bonds mediate the characteristic L-shaped molecular structure. tRNAs have two regions of fundamental functional importance: the anti-codon, which is responsible for specific mRNA codon recognition, and the 3' end, to which the tRNAs corresponding amino acid is attached (by aminoacyl-tRNA synthetases). tRNAs cope with the degeneracy of the genetic code in two manners: having more than one tRNA (with a specific anti-codon) for a particular amino acid; and 'wobble' base-pairing, i.e. permitting non-standard base-pairing at the 3rd anti-codon position.
Source: RNAcentral